AUGAUGAGACAAAGGCGGUCAAACAGUAUUAGCAUGUGUAUCUUGCCCGUCAUCCCCGAAUAUCCAGGCUUCCAGGACAUUAAGCUACCAAGAAAUUCCUCGGGAACUCCAGCCUUCAACUGGCUUUUCCAGGACUUGAAAAGAGGAAAGAGCUCCUCAUCUCAGCUGCAUAAUACUCCAAACAGAGCUCUCUUAGUCCAUCGCAUGGGGAGCUCUUCAAGAGGCUGUUUGAAAGGCCACCUACCAACCAGCAGCGGCUUCCACGACAAACCAGUGCAAGAGUACUUCAAUGAGAGGCUAAUGGAGCUCAGGAACUACAAAAGCAAGAGGUCGAACAGGAAGACAAAAGCUGGUGAGAGCCAGAACCCCUUCCUCACCCACAGAGGAUGCCGACGCAGAAGCAGUUGCAGUGCUGUGGUAAUGACAGGGCAUGGGAAGCAGAGUGAGGAGUCCUGCAGCUCAGCAGAUCAAGACAACCCAACUGGGAUUGAGCAUAACGACCAAGAGGAAAGGCAGGAUGCCCUGGACCUCUACAAGAGUGACUUCUUGGACAUCCUGACAAUGCACAUCACUGCUUCCCUAGAAGCAAUUGUGCAAAAGCAGUGAUACUGGAGCUGGUUACAGCUUUUGUGCAGUGCUGAAAGCCAGGAAGAACUGUUCCUGCUCAGCAUCACUCUGACUGAAGUAGUUCACGUGUGCCAGUCCACUCCGUCACAGAAAUGAGCUUGUUUGUGGGUGAAAAUGUUCUCUCAUCUUGUGUUCCUGGUUGGUAUUACAUAUAUUUUUUUCCAGCUGUUUUCUGCAAAGAGUAUAAUUGAGACACGGUUGGGACUUAUUAUAUAGAUAACAGUGUUCUGAAUGCAUGCACAUAUUAGCUGAAUCCAUAGAAUCCCAGACUGGUUUGGGUUGGAAAGCUCAUCCAGUUUCAACUCCCUGCCAUGGGCAGGGAUACUUUCCACUAGAGCAGCUUGCUCCAAGCCCCAUCCAACCUGGCCUUGAGCACUUAAGUGUUCAAGAAUUCUUAAGCUGCCUUAAGAAAAAGUUGAUCAAUGUCAGAGGAGCAGCUUGAGCUCCUACUCUGUAUCGGUUCAUCUGAAGAAAGACUGCUGUGCUCUGUCCUGUUACUUUGCUUGUUUUAAGCUUCUUGCUUUUAUCAUGUCACUUUGGACCAACUCAUCCAUGGUGACGAUUUGCACAGAUGCAAAUCAUUGAUGAGGAAUGGCUGAUUAUCAACCAUUGCCAUGUGUAGUUACCAGGUGGAUCAUUUGAAGUAUCUGAUGCAUGAAGAAGCAAACACAGAUGUUAAGUUUUAUAUUUCAAUAUGAAUGGCUAUUCUGGUUUCAUUUGCAGAUUCAGAAAACUUUGACUUAAACACCAGUACGAAGGCAAGAGUUAAAAAUACCAUAUUUAAGUGUGAAUGAUGGAAUUACAGAGGAAAGAAGGCUCCUUCCCUCUUUCCUAGUGUAAAUAUGAGAACAACAUAGCAAAUGCCUUGUGUAAUCUAGCUAAAUCAGUGUUUAUCAUGGUCAUCUAAGUAUACAGUGUCAGCUGCAGCUGAAUCUUUUUAUUAUGUGAAAUGUCAAUGUUUAAUUCCACAGUACACUGACUCUUAGACCCAAAGCAGAGCAAUUUUAACCUUCCAGAAAGAGUUACUACUGCCUGUGGUAUCAUCAGCAAUAAAU
This is a long non-coding RNA of Melopsittacus undulatus (budgerigar), 1682 nucleotides long. NCBI's taxonomy places the organism in Eukaryota, Metazoa, Chordata, Aves, Psittaciformes, Psittaculidae. The record is from Ensembl.